Molecule: ribosomal RNA, 497 nt
Filed under: uncultured bacterium
Lineage: Bacteria
Description: partial 16S ribosomal RNA
Rfam family: Bacterial small subunit ribosomal RNA
Source: RNAcentral
GAUGAACGCUGGCGGCGUGCCUAAUACAUGCAAGUCGAGCGAACGGACGAGAAGCUUGCUUUUCUGAUGUUAGCGGCGGACGGGUGAGUAACACGUGGAUAACCUACCUAUAAGACUGGGAUAACUUCGGGAAACCGGAGCUAAUACCGGAUAAUAUUUUGAACCGCAUGGUUCAAAAGUGAAAGACGGUCUUGCUGUCACUUAUAGACGGAUCCGCGCUGCAUUAGCUAGUUGGUAAGGUAACGGCUUACCAAGGCAACGAUGCAUAGCCGACCUGAGAGGGUGAUCGGCCACACUGGAACUGAGACACGGUCCAGACUCCUACGGGAGGCAGCAGUAGGGAAUCUUCCGCAAUGGGCGAAAGCCUGACGGAGCAACGCCGCGUGAGUGAUGAAGGUCUUCGGAUCGUAAAACUCUGUUAUUAGGGAAGAACAUAUGUGUAAGUAACUGUGCACAUCUUGACGGUACCUAAUCAAAAAGCCACGGCUAACUACGUG